CCCGCACAAGCGGAGGAACAUGUGGUUUAAUUCGAUGAUACGCGAGGAACCUUACCUGGGCUUAAAUGUAGAGUGCAUUUUCUAGAGAUAGGAAUUCCCUUCGGGGCUUUCUACAAGGUGCUGCAUGGCUGUCGUCAGCUCGUGCCGUGAGGUGUCGGGUUAAGUCCCAUAACGAGCGCAACCCUUAUCGUUAGUUGCCAUCUGGUAAAGCAGGGGACUCUAGCGAAACUGCCACCGUAAGGUGAGAGGAAGGUGGGAUGACGUCAAAUCAGCACGGCCCUUAUGUCCAGGGCUACACACGUGUUACAAUGGUCGGUACAGAGGGCAGCUACCUGGUGACAGGAUGCUAAUCUCGAAAACCGGCCUCAGUUCGGAUCGAAGUCUGCAACUCGACUUCGUGAAGCUGGAUUCGCUAGUAAUCGCGCAUCAGCCAUGGCGCGGUCGAAUACGUUCCCGGGCCUU
This 462-nucleotide ribosomal RNA is filed under the name uncultured Sphingobacteriales bacterium. Its description in RNAcentral is "bacterial SSU rRNA". It matches the Rfam family "Bacterial small subunit ribosomal RNA", at positions 920 to 1382 of the family's 1533-position model. Lineage: Bacteria; Pseudomonadati; Bacteroidota; Sphingobacteriia; Sphingobacteriales. The record is from RNAcentral.